GGGCCUGUAGCUCAGCUGGUAGAGCGCCGCGUUUACACCGCGUAGGUCGUCGGUUCGAGCCGGCCGGGCCCA
Molecule: transfer RNA, 72 nt
Filed under: Ornithinimicrobium kibberense
Lineage: Bacteria; Bacillati; Actinomycetota; Actinomycetes; Micrococcales; Ornithinimicrobiaceae
Also listed under: 1 other name
Rfam family: tRNA
About the family: Transfer RNA (tRNA) molecules are approximately 80 nucleotides in length. Their secondary structure includes four short double-helical elements and three loops (D, anti-codon, and T loops). Further hydrogen bonds mediate the characteristic L-shaped molecular structure. tRNAs have two regions of fundamental functional importance: the anti-codon, which is responsible for specific mRNA codon recognition, and the 3' end, to which the tRNAs corresponding amino acid is attached (by aminoacyl-tRNA synthetases). tRNAs cope with the degeneracy of the genetic code in two manners: having more than one tRNA (with a specific anti-codon) for a particular amino acid; and 'wobble' base-pairing, i.e. permitting non-standard base-pairing at the 3rd anti-codon position.
Source: RNAcentral